This is a non-coding RNA of Podarcis lilfordi (Lilford's wall lizard), 957 nucleotides long. The record is from the annotation of a GenBank genome assembly. NCBI's taxonomy places the organism in Eukaryota, Metazoa, Chordata, Lepidosauria, Squamata, Lacertidae.
GGGAUAGCAGGAUGAGAAGCAAGUCAUGGGUGUCCUUGCUGCAAUGUUCUGGGUUCCUGUGGUUUUGUUCCUGGAGACACUUCUCUCAGGUGAGGUUACUUCAGCGAGACAGAGAAGAGUUGUAUCAGUUCUCACUCAGGUGGUCAGGUAGGAAAAGGAGAGAAAUUCAGUUUUGUUUGUUUUGUAAUGAUGAACUACCUAACGGACACUUCUCAAACCGAUAGACAGCUAUCUUUUGAAAGGCACGCUUCUCUGAUUUGUGCAACGCAGUUCCGCAGCCAAAGAACACAUGUACCAAGCUGCAUAUAUUUGGGAGAACUGUAUAUCAAAAUAUUGACAAAAAUAACAUGAAAAAAAUGCAUCAUGUAUUUGUCCAUGUUAGGCAAAACCAUGUACAAAAAUGUUCAUAUCGAGAGAAAUUAAAAUGGUGGUGAAUUGAAUUUUUGCAAAGAUUACACACACACACACACACACACACACACACACAACAGCUAAUUGUUUUCACAAUAUCUUUUCUUAAAUAUGAAAUUGCUGUGGAAAUGUGGAGAUCUGAAUUUAAGAAAAGAAAGGCAGAAAGAAAAGUGACCGAUGAGUCCAUCUCCAGUGGUCAGUAACAUUCCCUAUUAUUUUCUUGCAGGUUCAGAGUCUCAGGUUAUUGUUGUGACUCAACCAGCCUCAAUGUCCGUAUCCCUGGGAUCAACAGUGAAGCUCGCAUGUGCUGUGAGCAGCGAUUUAAAAAUCAGCAGCGAGAGGGUGAGAUGGUAUCAGCAGAAAACGGGUACCCCACGCCUUCUCUAUCAUUAUUACACCAGUAGUGACCAGGGCAGGGGCUCUGGGGUCCCAGAGAGAUUCAGUGUCUCCCCUGAUUCCUCCAAGAACCUCUGGAAUCUAGUGAUCACUGGAGUUCAAGCUGAAGACGAGGCCAGUUAUUACUGCUGUAUAUGGGAUGGCAGGCCA